Molecule: ribosomal RNA, 333 nt
Filed under: uncultured bacterium
Lineage: Bacteria
Description: bacterial SSU rRNA
Rfam family: Bacterial small subunit ribosomal RNA
Source: RNAcentral
AACUAACGCUGGCGGCGCGCCUAAUACAUGCAAGUCGAACGAUGUAGCAAUACAUAGUGGCGCACGGGAGAGUAACACGUGGAUAAUCUCCCCUCGAGAGAGGAAUAACUAGUCGAAAGAUUGGCUAAUACUUCAUAAGACCACAGAAACUAAUGUUUCAGGGGUAAAAGUCGUAAGACGCUUGAGGAUGAGUCUGCGUCCCAUUAGCUAGUUGGUGAGGUAACGGCUCACCAAGGCGACGAUGGGUAGCUGGUCUGAGAGGAUGAUCAGCUCACUGGAACUGACGCACGGUCCAGACUCCUACGGGAGGCAGCAGUAGGGAAUAUUGCACAA